GACGAACGCUGGCGGCGUGCUUAACACAUGCAAGUCGAACGAUGAAGCCGGAGCUUGCUCCGGUGGAUUAGUGGCGAACGGGUGAGUAACACGUGAGCAAUCUGCCCUUGACUCUGGGAUAACUGCGGGAAACUGUAGCUAAUAACGGAUACGACACCUUGGGGCAUCCCAGGGUGUGGAAAGAAUUUCGGUCAAGGAUGAGCUCGCGGCCUAUCAGCUAGUUGGUGAGGUAAGAGCUCACCAAGGCGACGACGGGUAGCCGGCCUGAGAGGGUGACCGGCCACAAUGGAACUGAGACACGGUCCAGACUCCUACGAGAGGCAGCAGUGGGGAAUAUUGCACAAUGGGCGAAAGCCUGAUGCAGCAACGCCGCGUGAGGGAUGAAGGCCUUCGGGUUGUAAACCUCUUUUAGCAGGGAAGAAGCGAGAGUGACGGUACCUGCAGAAAAAGCACCGGCUAACAACGUGCCAGCCGCCGCGGUAA
RNAcentral lists this ribosomal RNA (483 nucleotides) under uncultured bacterium. RNAcentral describes it as "partial 16S ribosomal RNA". It matches the Rfam family "Bacterial small subunit ribosomal RNA", at positions 28 to 523 of the family's 1533-position model. The record is from RNAcentral.